This 500-nucleotide ribosomal RNA is filed under the name uncultured bacterium. Its description in RNAcentral is "partial 16S ribosomal RNA". It matches the Rfam family "Bacterial small subunit ribosomal RNA", at positions 30 to 523 of the family's 1533-position model. The record is from RNAcentral.
AUUGAACGCUGGCGGAAUGCUUUACACAUGCAAGUCGAACGGCAGCACGGACUUCGGUCCGGUGGCGAGUGGCGAACGGGUGAGUAAUGUAUCGGAACGUGCCCAGUCGUGGGGGAUAACGUAGUGAAAAUUACGCUAAUACCGCAUACGAUCUAUGGAUGAAAGCGGGGGAUCGCAAGACCUCGCGCGAUUGGAGCGGCCGAUAUCAGAUUAGGUAGUUGGUGGGGUAAAGGCCCACCAAGCCAGCGAUCUGUAGCUGGUCUGAGAGGACGACCUGCCACACUGGAACUGAGACACGGUCCAGACUCCUACGGGAGGCAGCAGUGGAGAAUUUUGGACAAUGGGCGAAAGCCUGAUCCAGCCAUUCCGCGUGCAGGAUGAAGGCCCUCGGGUUGUAAACUGCUUUUGUACAGAACGAAAAGGUUUCUACUAAUACUAGGAGCUCAUGACGGUACUGUAAGAAUAAGCACCGGCUAACUACGUGCCAGCCGCCGCAGUAA